CCGGCCGCCGCACAGCCUCGCGGUCACUGCCUCACCAUCUCAGUUCAGAUUUUAUCUUCUUUUCAGGUUUGUUUGGUCGUUUUCCGAAUUGGGUCUGUCAAUUUUUAGGGGAAGCAUUACUCUGCGAACGGUGUUGUUCAUUCUUGCUCGUUUCUGAGGGGAAGUUGUUUUCUUCUCAUUUGUACUGGUAA
Long non-coding RNA from Humulus lupulus (European hop), 191 nucleotides. RefSeq lists it as uncharacterized. The transcript is spliced from 2 exons. The record is from RefSeq and is a predicted model, not a curated record. Lineage: Eukaryota; Viridiplantae; Streptophyta; Magnoliopsida; Rosales; Cannabaceae.